Molecule: ribosomal RNA, 305 nt
Filed under: uncultured bacterium
Lineage: Bacteria
Description: bacterial SSU rRNA
Rfam family: Bacterial small subunit ribosomal RNA
Source: RNAcentral
UUCCUACGGGGCGCAGCAGUGAGGAAUAUUGGUCAAUGGUCGGGAGACUGAACCAGCCAAGCCGCGUGAGGGAGGAAGGUACAGAGUAUCGUAAACCUCUUUUGUCAGGGAACAAAGGCGGGGACGUGUCCCCGGAUGAGUGUACCUGAAGAAAAAGCAUCGGCUAACUACGUGCCAGCAGCCGCGGUAAAACGUAGGGUGCAAGCGUUGUCCGGAAUUACUGGGUGUAAAGGGAGCGCAGGCGGACUGUCAAGUUGGGAGUGAAAACUACGGGCUCAACCCGUAACUUGCUUUCAAAAAUGGCG